GCGUUGAAAAGCUCGGGGAUGACUUGUGGGUAGCGGUGAAAUUCCAAUCGAGCCCGGAGAUAGCUGGUUCGCCCCGAAAUAGCUUUAGGGCUAGCCUCAAGGUGAGAGAUACGGAGGUAGAGCACUGAAUGUCCUAGGGGGUAUUGCACCUACCGAAGACUAUCAAACUCCGAAUGCCGUCAUCUUAUACUUGGGAGUCAGACUGUGGGUGAUAAGAUUCAUAGUCGAAAGGGCAACAGCCCAGAUCGUCAGCUAAGGUCCCUAAAUGUAAGUUAAGUGGUAAAGGAUGUGGGAUUGCACAGACAACCAGGAUGUUGGCUUAGAAGCAGCCACUCAUUCAAAGAGUGCGUAAUAGCUCACUGGUCGAGUGAUCCUGCGCCGAAGAUUUCCGGGGCUAAAACUUACUACCGAAGCUACGGCAUCAGUAAUGAUGGGUAGGGGAGCUUCCCAUACGGGUUGAAGCAUGACCGUAAGGACAUGUGGACAGUAUGGGAGUGAGAAUGUUGGCAUGAGUAGCGAGAUGUGGGUG
RNAcentral lists this ribosomal RNA (529 nucleotides) under Clostridioides difficile. Its description in RNAcentral is "bacterial LSU rRNA". It matches the Rfam family "Bacterial large subunit ribosomal RNA", at positions 786 to 1323 of the family's 2925-position model. Lineage: Bacteria; Bacillati; Bacillota; Clostridia; Peptostreptococcales; Peptostreptococcaceae. The record is from RNAcentral.